Molecule: ribosomal RNA, 275 nt
Filed under: uncultured bacterium
Lineage: Bacteria
Description: partial 16S ribosomal RNA
Rfam family: Bacterial small subunit ribosomal RNA
Source: RNAcentral
CUAAGGCCGAUGGCGACCGGCGCACGGGUGAGUAACACGUAUCCAACCUGCCGAUAACUCGGGGAUAGCCUUUCGAAAGAAAGAUUAAUACCCGAUGGCAUAAUAGAACCGCAUGGUUUGAUUAUUAAAGAAUUUCGGUUAUCGAUGGGGAUGCGUUCCAUUAGGCAGUUGGUGGGGUAACGGCCCACCAAGCCUUCGAUGGAUAGGGGUUCUGAGAGGAAGGUCCUCCACAUUGGAACUGAGACACGGUCCAAACUCCUACGGGAGGCAGCAUG